GCAUAUCAAUAAGCGGAGGAAAAGAAACCAACAGGGAUUGCCCUAGUAACGGCGAGUGAAGCGGCAACAGCUCAAAUUUGAAAUCUGGCUCUCUUUGGGGGUCCGAGUUGUAAUUUGCAGAGGAUGCUUUGGCAUUGGCGGCGGUCUAAGUUCCUUGGAACAGGACAUCACAGAGGGUGAGAAUCCCGUACGUGGUCGCCUGCCCUUGCCGUGUAAAGCUCCUUCGACGAGUCGAGUUGUUUGGGAAUGCAGCUCUAAAUGGGAGGUAAAUUUCUUCUAAAGCUAAAUACUGGCCAGAGACCGAUAGCGCACAAGUAGAGUGAUCGAAAGAUGAAAAGUACUUUGGAAAGAGAGUCAAAAAGCACGUGAAAUUGUUGAAAGGGAAGCGCUUGCAGCCAGACUUGCCCGCAGUUGCUCACCUAGGCUUUCGCCUGGGGCACUCUUCUGCGGGCAGGCCAGCAUCAGUUUGGGCGGUUGGAUAAAGGCCUCUGUCACGUAUCUCCCUUCGGGGUGACCUUAUAGGGGAGGCGCAAUGCAACCAGCCCGGACUGAGGUCCGCGCAUCUGCUAGGAUGCUGGCGUAAUGGCUGUAAGCGGCCCGUCUUGAAACACGGACCAAGGAGUCUAACAUCUAUGCGAGUGUUUGGGUGUCAAGCCCGAGCGCGCAAUGAAAGUGAACGGAGGUGGGAACCCUUUGGGUGCACCAUCGACCGAUCCUGAUGUCUUCGGAUGGAUUUGAGUAAGAGCAUAGCUGUUGGGACCCGAAAGAUGGUGAACUAUGCUUGAAUAGGGUGAAGCCAGAGGAAACUCUGGUGGAGGCUCGCAGCGGUUCUGACGUGCAAAUCGAUCGUCAAAUUUGGGCAUAGGGGCGAAAGACUAAUCGAACCAUCUAGUAGCUGGU
RNAcentral lists this ribosomal RNA (900 nucleotides) under Paraphaeosphaeria neglecta. Its description in RNAcentral is "eukaryotic LSU rRNA". It matches the Rfam family "Eukaryotic large subunit ribosomal RNA", at positions 38 to 955 of the family's 3401-position model. The record is from RNAcentral. Lineage: Eukaryota; Fungi; Ascomycota; Dothideomycetes; Pleosporales; Didymosphaeriaceae.